GGGCGGUUAGCUCAGUUGGCCAGAGCGUCUGCCUUACACGCAGAAUGUCGCAGGUUCGAAUCCUGCACCGCCCA
Molecule: transfer RNA, 74 nt
Filed under: Phycisphaerae bacterium
Lineage: Bacteria; Pseudomonadati; Planctomycetota; Phycisphaerae
Also listed under: 3 other names
Description: tRNA-Val
Rfam family: tRNA
About the family: Transfer RNA (tRNA) molecules are approximately 80 nucleotides in length.
Source: RNAcentral